CUGGGGGCGCGGGGGCCGCGGGGGGCGCCGGUGCACCCGGCACGCUGCGGGCAUCUCUGUCGGGUUGCUCCGGGCCGCUGGGAUCCACGUCCUGGCUCAUGGCUGCGGCCAGCACCAUGUGAGGCGAGGCCGGCCCCGGGCUCGAGGCGAGAGAGCGCACGCAAAGGGCGGCCCCGGGGCACGGGCGCUCACUGGCCGGGGUCCCCGUGCCCAGUCCCCUUGUCCUUCCCGGUGGCGCGGGGAGGAGACGCGAGGGGCGGGGAGGAGGCAGUCCCGGCGGCGCCGCCUCCUCCUCCUCCUCCUCCCGCCGCUCCCGCUAGCCCAGCCGGGCCACGCGGGGGCGGGGGCCAGGGGGCGUCUCCCCGGCCGGCGGGUGCCGCUCGGCCCCCGGGGGACUGCUCAGCGCCGGUGUGAGCCGCGGAGCUCUGCCCUUGGACCCUGAGCGCGGCCAGAGGAGAGGGAACGCGGCGCGCGCCAACCGCCACCUUGCGCCCUCACGGUCCCCGGCCCGGCUCUCCGCAGUGCAGCGCAACCGCGUGAGGCGGCGAGACGCACUCCAGCCCGCCGCCGGCCGCCGCGCUCGCGCCUCUGCCCGGAGCUCUGCCGCCUCGGGGUUGUCCCCGGGGACCGCGCGCGCGACCUCGCGCGCUCCUGCCAAGCGGGCCGGACGGAGCGCGCCCCGGGGCGUCCGCGCGCAUCGCCAGGGCGAAGUGAGUGGGGCUUGGCACCUUCCGGCGUCUGGAGCCCGGCCAGCGCCACUCUCGUCCGAAGGGCCCGACCCGGCGGGGGGAAAGUCCGGAACCUCCCCCACUUCGGUGGGACGUCUAACCUCCGGUCUUACAUGACCAGGCCCGAGGGCUCUCCACACUGGCAGUUCCGGCUGCUGAUUUCAGGGAUCUCCGGAAGCAGCCAGUGGGACCGCCGUGGUUUCUCUUCAUUUUUCCCGCUACGAUCCCGGGAGCGCAAAGACAAAACCAUGUAUAUGUUUUAUUCUUGUUAUGUAUUGGCGAGAUCUCAGUAGAAAUGUAAAGGAUGAAAAGGAGAGAGUUCGCUGACAUCGCGCCGCCACCAUCACUGCCUGUGUAGUUCCGUUCGCUGUCCCGGCGCCCGUGUGCGCCAGUUCACCUGCACACGCCAGCUCACAGCUGAGGCCGCGGGCAUCUGCGGUGAGGAGCCACGCUCAAGGUGCAGCUUAAUGUCCUGGCCCGCGAGUUGGAGGUCUGGGGAGGCACCCGGUGCCACAGAAACAUCUAGGAGCUGGGCAGAGCUCGUGGAGAGUGGUUAUCCAGAAGAUCCUUACCGUGCGUUGGGCGCACUAGCUUUCCAAAUCCUGACAUUGGCCGCCCGGAGGAAGCAAAGAAAAAGCAUCCCUUGGGUGCCUUGGAAGCCAGAGCGAAGGCCAGAGUGUCCCGUGGCCUGGAAAGAAGUUUGCUGGGGGUCUCAAAGCCCACACGUCCUUCUCCCACAGCCACGUGAAGGAACAUUCUGGGGAUGCGUUCUCUGGAACGUGGCAACUAACGGAAUUCCCUGAAAAAUGGUUUCUUCUCUCCCCAGACUGAAGAAUGACAGAGAUCCCCAGCUGGGGUUGCAGCCAUUUAAGAAACUGUAGCACUCUUGCUUUUGUGCCCUCCCCAGCCCCACCCCGCCAGGGAGCGCUUCACUGUUACCAAAGUGAGAAAAAAGGCUGGAUUAAAAAACUGAGGCUCAAAGAAGUUCAGCCACCUGACCAGCUAUUAAGUGGUGGUGCUGUAGAUCGAACCCCAGUCUUCAUCACCCCUGGGAUCGGACUUUUAACUACUCUGUAUGGUGGCAUGGUGCAUCUUGGUAUUAUGGGCUUUUGAGACCAGAAGUUUCUCUGCUAAAUCCUGGCUGGAUAUCUCUGAUAUUUGUCUCCAAUCUCUCUCUCUUUCAUCUCCCAUCUCUCCACAUGACCUGGAUUCUCUUUUCCAUCCCCCUGAGGUAAACCAGAGAUUUAUGUAUUUUGUUGUGUUUUUCAAAGAACCAGCAUUUGGAUAUGUUUACUAUUUCUGCUGUUUUCUUCUACUUUUUAGUAGAAAAAACACAUCAGUGAAUUUUUGCCACAUCAGCGAAUUGAUGAGGAUCCGGUGGUCUGGGGCCCUGCCAGGACAUCCCCUCCGAAGUAAAAGACGAAUUAUUGUGUCUUGCGUCAUCUACCACCAAAAUGAAACACAACCUUUGCUUGCCCUCUUUGAGUCCUGGAGGCAGCAUAUUUAUUUUACACUUGGGAUACUGCUCUGAGCCAGUCAUGUAUCAGGUGACACAUAAGGCUGCCAGUUGUGUUAUGUUUUUUGUUUUUAAGUAAUCUCUAUACCCAGAGUGGGGCUCGAACACGUGACCCCGAGAUCAAGAGCCGCGCGCUCUACUGACUAAGCCCAGCCAGGCGCCCCAAGGCUGCCCGUGUUGAACAAGGCACCGAGACCAGGGGAGGACUCUGCAGUAGGUCCGGGCUGUGGGGCAGGUCACCCUGUUGCUUGGGUCACAUGACACAGGAGACCCUAUGGUGCUAGAGGGGUUUGUGGAAGGAAAAGAUACCGUGCAGAAUUUAUUAUAAACCGCAGUAGGAAAAUCGCAGUAGACACACGUGAAUUCUGGAGCCAGCCAUGGCAUGUACCACAGAGAAGUACACACCAUGUGAAAAAUAGCCAGGCCCUGCUAGAGGCAGAACCUCUGAUCCUGCUGACCGUGGGAUAUCAAGUGACUACGUGGCAGAAAUGUUCUAUUAUAUUUCUACUCAUGUGUAACGAAUUAUCACAAAUGUAACAGCUUAAGGGAACACAAAUUUAUUAGCUCAUAAAUACAUAGGUCAGAAGUCCAGCGUGGCUCAGAUGGGUUCCCCUCUUAGGGUAUCAUAAGGCCAAAAUCAAGAUGUUAGCCAGGCUGAGUUCUUUUUUUUUUUUUUUUUUUUUUCUUUUUGAGGGAGAGAGAAAGAGAGAGAGAGAGAACAGGGGAAGGGCAGAAAGAGAAUCUUAAGCAGAUUUCACACCCAGUGUGGAACCCAACCCACGCCGGGCUUGAUCUUAAGACCUUGAGAUCAUGACCUGAGCUGAAAUCAAGAGUUGGCCACUCAGCUGACUGAGUCACCUAUGCGCCCCCAGGCUGUUCUUAUCUGAAUUCAGGCUGUUGACCAAGUUUAGUUCUUUGUGGUUGUAGGACUGGUUUGUUUCUUUUUUAACAUUUUUUUAACAUUUACUUUUUUAAUAAAAUCUUUAAAGGUUUAUCUUCAAUUGAGAGAGAAUAUGAGCGGGGGAGGGGCAGAGAGAGAGGGAGGCACAGAAUCCGAAGCAGGCUCCAGGCUCUGAGCUGUGAGCACAGAGCCCCACAUGGGGCUCAAAUUCGUGAGCCGUGAGAUCACGACCUGAGCCAAAGUCGGACACUUAACCAACCGAGCCACGCAGGCGCCCCUGUAGGACUGUAUUUAUUGGCUGUCCACCACGGGCCUCUCUUAGCAUGUGAAGGUCACUGCGUUCCUUCUCAUGUGGCCCCCCCAUCCUCAAGCCAGCAGCACAUCGAACUCCUCUCAUAUUUCAAAUCUCUCUCAUUUUUUCUUUUGCUAUCAGCCAGAUAAAGCUCCCCAUUUCGAAAGGCUCAGGUCAUGAGAGCAGACCCACCCCAAUAAUCUUAUUUUACCAUCAAAUGUGCUAUAUAACAUAACAGAAUCACAGGAGGGAUAUCUUGUCAUAGUCACAUAUUCGCGCUAACAAUCCUCACUCGAGGGGUUAGGGCAGGACGUCUGGGGAGCCGUUUUGGAACUGGUCCCUACCACCACUGCCCAUCAUGAGCUGGGUUCUGGUCACGAACUGAUGAACUGAUUCAUGCCCAUCAUGAACUGAUUUGUCAGGGUCCUGGAAGGUGGACGGAUGAAAUAUCGGGCACAAGGAGGUCUCGGGUAGAGGCGUGUGGAUGAACCUACGAAGUGCGCGUUAAGCGUGAUGAUCAUUGAAUCAUAUGAAAGCCACCCCUUCCAGCUGAAAGCAUUCACCGUGGAAGAGGCACUGAAGAGCCAAGUACCCAAAAUGACUUGGGGGGUGGGGGGCGGUUGAGAUCAGUCAGCCUCUGUCAUCGGCCACUCCAGUACUGUCCAGUGAGUGUGUCAGUGAAGUAUCCCGAGUUCCAGGGAUGGAAGUCAUUUAUGAAACUGCCAACACACGCUCCCAGGCAUCGAGACGGAUCUAGCUACUGCGCCGCUAAAUAUCCAAUGCGCCGCCAAUAAGACCAAAGCUGAGCCCCUGAUAUAGCAUCAUCCUCCAAAGAGAGCAAUUCCGGGGAGGCAAACGAUCUUUGCGGGCCAUUAUCUGCUUAACACAGAUAAUGAGGGUCAGUUGCAGCUGUAAGACCAGUUUCAGCAGUGAGGUCUGUAGUUUUCUCUUGCUAACCUUUCUCUUGCCAGUUUUUCCCAAAAGGAAACUACCAAAGUCCUGAAGGAGCUGUGCCAAGAUGGGAUAAGCGAGUGGAACUGGCAGAUACAAGGAGCCGACUGCUGUGGUUACCAUGGCGCACCACCUGGGUCUCCCUUUCAGGACCCCUCAGCUGCCAGAGCUGUCGGCUUCUGAUAGCUCCCAACAGAGUCCCUGUCUGGAAUUGCCCCAGACUGAAUGAAGUGCCCUCCCCCCCCCCCCCCCGGAAAACCCACAUCCAAGAAAUAAUCAGUAUAGGAGUAUAAAGUCCUGGACCCCUUGCCUUAGGGCGGGACAUCCUGAAGAGCCAUCCAAGCUCCAGGGCUCCCGAUAGAAUCAGGAGGGUGAGGCCACUGCAGUGCGGUUCAACUUCCCCUCUGCACAAUCCAGCUUCCCUCCCUCCUUACAGAUUUUGUUGCUGAUAGUACUCCCCAGUAAACCCCCUGCACACAGAUCUCAGUCUGCUGUCUGAGAAACCUGACCAAAGGGACCUGCCUUUGUUUUUUAUAGAAGCUGUAUAGAAUAUCUAAAUAGGUGCCAGGAAGAUUAUCUCCAAAAUAAUGGCUUUGCAAUACAAUACAGUGAAACCUUGGAUUGCGAGUAACUUGUUCUGCGAGUGUUCCACAAGACAAGCAAACAUUUCUAAUCAAUUUUAACUUGAUUAACGAGCGAUGUCUUGCAAUACGAGUAGUACGUGAUGUCAAAUGUCCCACGAUCACAACUGAGCCAAUGGUUCUUCUCUUUCUCUCUCUCCUUCUACGGGAUUGUGGGUGAUCAUCUCCCAUGUUCAGAUGCUCGGUCUCAGGCUGCAGUGUUUGGCAGAAAUUAGUGAUUUUUCAGAACAUUGGAAGGUGCCCACAAUUGACAUUAGGGUAUUUUUUGUUACUUCAAAGCACCAGUGGAUGGUCCUUUGCUUUUCCAUACAAGAGUAAGCUUAGGAAUGCUUUGCUUCAUUCUAGGUCAGGCUGCCUGCAGAUAUAGACCCUUUCUUCUGCUGCCUUAUUGCCAGUUAUAUUAAAUACAGUAUAUGACAAGAGUUUCUUAAUACUGAACUGGGGCGCCUGGGUGGCUCAGUCGGUUGAGCGUAUGACUUCGGCUCAGGUCAUGAUCUCAUGGUCCGUGAGUUUGAGCCCCGCGUUGGGCUCUGUGCUGACAGCUCAGAGCCUGGAGCCUGCUUUGGAUUCUAUGCCUCCCUCUCUCUCUCUCUUGAUCCUCCCCCGUUCAUGCUCUGUCUCUCUCUGUCUCAAAAAUAAAUAAACAUUAAAAAAAUUUUAAUACUGUACUGUAGUCAACAUCCGUACAAGCAUAUACAAUGGCGCAGGAAAAGAUCCCAUUGAGCCAAUAGAUAGCAGUGGUUCCAUUAGUGAUAGUGAAAGUCUUCCUACAUAAUAACCCUCCUCUCUCAUCUCCCUCACACCAGCCAUGAAGGUUUUCAAAGGUAAGUGCAGGUUAAUUUGUUUACUUUUCUUUAUAUUUUGUAUUUUCUUUAUUAUUUUGUAUUAUAGUACAGUAUUGUAAUCAUUUUAUUUGAAUAUUUUGGGGUUGUGGGAUGAAUCAUCUGAGUUUCCAUUAUUUCUUAUGGGGAAAUUCGCCUUGAUAUACAAGUGCUUUGGAUAACAAGCAUGUUUCCAGAACAAAUUAUGCUCGCAAACCAAGGUUUUACUGUACCUCCAUUUUUACCAUGGCUGCCAGGAAGCUCAGAGCCCCAGCUGAGCAAUCACAGCAACCACUUUACAUUGGUUUAAAUUCCCAUUCCGUAGUACCUCUUUUUAAGCCAUAUUGGAAUGUGUUUAUUGUAAGCCACCUCAAGCUCUCUAUUAAAAGGGUCAGGGUAUAUAUGCAUUAUAAAUAGUAACCCACCUUGAUGGUAAAACCAGCACACCCUGACUGCUCUUAACACAUUAAGCGGUAUAAUUCUGCGAUUAGAGAAUUGGCUCCUUCUAGGUUUAGGGCUGAGCUUCUAUAUUAGGCUGAGCUUGAGCAAGUUACCUAACCUCUCUGAUGUGGUGAUGACCUAAAAACCAUGAAGCUAGCAACACCACCUCACAGGGCUAUUGUGAAGAUCAAUGAAAUAACAUUUAUAAAGCACCUGACACGUGAAGAUGCUCAGGUAACGACAGCUGUCAAAGACAGCAUCAGCAUCAGCACCAUCGUCCUUGUCAUCAACAAGGACAAUAGUGACAUGAACAAUGAAUAGAGAAUGGACGUUGCUGUUUUAGGCCCCUUUGGGCAAAAGAAUGGCAAACAAGCCUUUGAUGAAGUUACCAUGGGAUGAAAAUAGUUUGGGGAUCCAAAUCCUGAAGUAGCUGAGCCCCUGGGAACCCUGAGUUCCCAAGUUCCAUCAAAGGGCCAUGAGUGGUUCAUGUUUGGAGGCCAUCAUUGAUUUUGCAGAUGAUAAAAUGGUGGCCAUGCAACAUAUUCUAGUCUUCCUGGAGUGAUGGGCUGUGGCCUUAAUUGGCAGCUGUUCUGACGUGUGUGGGGUGGGCUUGGAUCCCUGCUCUGUGCUAUCAUUGUAUCUGGACUUCCCCCAUCACCACCCUGCCUAUGAUCGCCUCUUGUGGACUACGUCCCCCAGGAGGCUGUGAGCUGCUCUGUGGAGGCAAAGUGUUUUUGUCUUAUUCACUAUUGUAUCCCCUGGAUCUAGCACAGCACCUGACAACAUAGGAGGUGCCGAUUAAAUAUUUGUUCAACAAAUGAA
This is a long non-coding RNA of Acinonyx jubatus (cheetah), 7113 nucleotides long. RefSeq lists it as uncharacterized. The record is from RefSeq and is a predicted model, not a curated record. The transcript is spliced from 4 exons. NCBI's taxonomy places the organism in Eukaryota, Metazoa, Chordata, Mammalia, Carnivora, Felidae.